UGAGGAAUAUUGGACAAUGGGCGCAAGCCUGAUCCAGCCAUGCUGCGUGCAGGAUGACGGUCCUAUGGAUUGUAAACUGCUUUUGUACAGGAAGAAACAGUUCUACGUGUAGAACCUUGACGGUACUGUAAGAAUAAGGAUCGGCUAACUCCGUGCCAGCAGCCGCGGUAAUACGGAGGAUCCAAGCGUUAUCCGGAAUCAUUGGGUUUAAAGGGUCCGUAGGCGGUUAGAUAAGUCAGUGGUGAAAGCCCAUCGCUCAACGGUGGAACGGCCAUUGAUACUGUCUGACUUGAAUUAUUAGGAAGUAACUAGAAUAUGUAGUGUAGCGGUGAAAUGCUUAGAGAUUACAUGGAAUACCAAUUGCGAAGGCAGGUUACUACUAAUGGAUUGACGCUGAUGGACGAAAGCGUGGGUAGCGAACAGGAUUAGAUACCCACGUAGUCCCUGAGCGGGCUGGCAAGGCGCAU
This 467-nucleotide ribosomal RNA is filed under the name uncultured bacterium. RNAcentral describes it as "bacterial SSU rRNA". It matches the Rfam family "Bacterial small subunit ribosomal RNA", at positions 355 to 825 of the family's 1533-position model. The record is from RNAcentral.